RNAcentral lists this unclassified non-coding RNA (393 nucleotides) under soil metagenome. RNAcentral describes it as "partial contains 5.8S ribosomal RNA, internal transcribed spacer 2, and large subunit ribosomal RNA". The stretch from base 1 to 120 matches the Rfam family "5.8S ribosomal RNA", at positions 35 to 154 of the family's 154-position model. The record is from RNAcentral.
GAUGAAGAACGCAGCGAAAUGCGAUAAGUAAUGUGAAUUGCAGAAUUCAGUGAAUCAUCGAAUCUUUGAACGCACCUUGCACUCUUUGGUAUUCCGAAGAGUAUGCCUGUUUGAGUGUCAUUAAAUUCUCAACCCAUCUGGCUUUUGAUAGUCAACUUGUGGCUUGGAUGUGGGGGUCUUUGCAGGCUUUGAAAAAGGUCAGCUCCCCUGAAAUGCAUUAGCGGAACGGUUUGCGAUCUGUCACUGGUGUGAUAAUUAUCUACGCCAAAGAUUAUGAACGCUCUCUGUCUGUUCAGCUUAUAACAGUCCCUUUAAUGUGGACAACUUUUGAUUGUUUGACCUCAAAUCAGGUAGGACUACCCGCUGAACUUAAGCAUAUCAAUAAGCGGAGGA